CACCGCGUAGUGUAGUGGUUAGCACGCUCGACUCUCACUCGAGAGGUCCGGGUUCGAAUCCCGGAGGCGGCGA
RNAcentral lists this transfer RNA (73 nucleotides) under Portunus trituberculatus (swimming crab). Its description in RNAcentral is "tRNA-Glu". The stretch from base 8 to 64 matches the Rfam family "tRNA", at positions 8 to 63 of the family's 71-position model. From Rfam's summary of the family: Transfer RNA (tRNA) molecules are approximately 80 nucleotides in length. Their secondary structure includes four short double-helical elements and three loops (D, anti-codon, and T loops). Lineage: Eukaryota; Metazoa; Arthropoda; Malacostraca; Decapoda; Portunidae. The record is from RNAcentral.